AUUCAAAUAUAAUCUUUCUUCAAGAAACUCACUCAGAAGCUGUGGAUGUUCCGUUUUGGCGUAAUCAUGGCAUGAUGAUAUUUUUUUUAGUCACGGCACAAAUCAUUCCGGAGGAGUUGCUAUUUGUUUGCAGAAAUGUCCCGGUAAGAUAAUUUUUCACAAAGCUGAUGAUGAUGGACAUUGGUUAGUAAUUGUUCUUAAUUUAGAUAAACACUUCCUUAUUUUGAUAAAUGUGUACGGGUAUAACAACCGCAGCCAAAAUAAUGAUUUACUCUGCUUAAUUACUGAUAUUAUUAGUGAAUUAAAAAUCACCUAUCCCACAGAAUUUAUUUUGAUUGGAGGGGAUUUUAAUUUAACGCCAGACUUAUGGCUAGAUAGGGAGCCCUCUAAGCACAAGUUAGCUCAUGUUAAUAACAUAAUUAAACAUUUUUGUGUUCAAAAUAAUUUAAUUGAUAUCUGGAGAAAGCGGAAUCCUGGAAUUAAACAGUUUACUUGGGUCAAACCGAACGCAGAGGCUAGAACAAGAAUUGAUUACUGGCUCGGCACGGACACUGUUUUUAAAUACGUGUAUAAUUGUUCUAUCUCUAGUGCACCGUUAACCGAUCACUGUGUAAUUAAGCUAAAUU
RNAcentral lists this long non-coding RNA (626 nucleotides) under Danio rerio (zebrafish). RNAcentral describes it as "si:ch211-198k9.9 (ENSDARG00000096648.2)". Lineage: Eukaryota; Metazoa; Chordata; Actinopteri; Cypriniformes; Danionidae. The record is from RNAcentral.